Molecule: ribosomal RNA, 1840 nt
Filed under: Salmonella enterica
Lineage: Bacteria; Pseudomonadati; Pseudomonadota; Gammaproteobacteria; Enterobacterales; Enterobacteriaceae
Also listed under: 1 other name
Description: partial 23S ribosomal RNA
Rfam family: Bacterial large subunit ribosomal RNA
Source: RNAcentral
GAGGGAAACCGAGUCUUAACCGGGCGUUAAGUUGCAGGGUAUAGACCCGAAACCCGGUGAUCUAGCCAUGGGCAGGUUGAAGGUUGGGUAACACUAACUGGAGGACCGAACCGACUAAUGUUGAAAAAUUAGCGGAUGACCUGUGGCUGGGGGUGAAAGGCCAAUCAAACCGGGAGAUAGCUGGUUCUCCCCGAAAGCUAUUUAGGUAGCGCCUCGUGAAUUCAUCUCCGGGGGUAGAGCACUGUUUCGGCUAGGGGGCCAUCCCGGCUUACCAACCCGAUGCAAACUGCGAAUACCGGAGAAUGUUAUCACGGGAGACACACGGCGGGUGCUAACGUCCGUCGUGAAGAGGGAAACAACCCAGACCGCCAGCUAAGGUCCCAAAGUCAUGGUUAAGUGGGAAACGAUGUGGGAAGGCCCAGACAGCCAGGAUGUUGGCUUAGAAGCAGCCAUCAUUUAAAGAAAGCGUAAUAGCUCACUGGUCGAGUCGGCCUGCGCGGAAGAUGUAACGGGGCUAAACCAUGCACCGAAGCUGCGGCAGCGAACGUAUCACCCAAGACAACUUUACGGAGUUGACGAUUGACGGAGCGAAGCGACGUCAAAGCGUUCAUUAAAGUCGAGUUGGCUUAGGGAUACGUUCGUUGGGUAGGGGAGCGUUCUGUAAGCCUGUGAAGGUGUGUCGUGAGGCAUGCUGGAGGUAUCAGAAGUGCGAAUGCUGACAUAAGUAACGAUAAAGCGGGUGAAAAGCCCGCUCGCCGGAAGACCAAGGGUUCCUGUCCAACGUUAAUCGGGGCAGGGUGAGUCGACCCCUAAGGCGAGGCCGAAAGGCGUAGUCGAUGGGAAACGGGUUAAUAUUCCCGUACUUGGUGUUACUGCGAAGGGGGGACGGAGAAGGCUAUGUUGGCCGGGCGACGGUUGUCCCGGUUUAAGCGUGUAGGUGUGUGUUCCAGGUAAAUCCGGUUCACUUUAACACUGAGGCGUGACGACGAGGCACUACGGUGCUGAAGCAACAAAUGCCCUGCUUCCAGGAAAAGCCUCUAAGCAUCAGGUAACAUCAAAUCGUACCCCAAACCGACACAGGUGGUCAGGUAGAGAAUACCAAGGCGCUUGAGAGAACUCGGGUGAAGGAACUAGGCAAAAUGGUGCCGUAACUUCGGGAGAAGGCACGCUGACACGUAGGUGAAGUGAUUUACUCAUGGAGCUGAAGUCAGUCGAAGAUACCAGCUGGCUGCAACUGUUUAUUAAAAACACAGCACUGUGCAAACACGAAAGUGGACGUAUACGGUGUGACGCCUGCCCGGUGCCGGAAGGUUAAUUGAUGGGGUCAGCGCAAGCGAAGCUCCUGAUCGAAGCCCCGGUAAACGGCGGCCGUAACUAUAACGGUCCUAAGGUAGCGAAAUUCCUUGUCGGGUAAGUUCCGACCUGCACGAAUGGCGUAAUGAUGGCCAGGCUGUCUCCACCCGAGACUCAGUGAAAUUGAACUCGCUGUGAAGAUGCAGUGUACCCGCGGCAAGACGGAAAGACCCCGUGAACCUUUACUAUAGCUUGACACUGAACAUUGAGCCUUGAUGUGUAGGAUAGGUGGGAGGCUUUGAAGUGUGGACGCCAGUCUGCAUGGAGCCGACCUUGAAAUACCACCCUUUAAUGUUUGAUGUUCUAACGUGGACCCGUAAUCCGGGUUGCGGACAGUGUCUGGUGGGUAGUUUGACUGGGGCGGUCUCCUCCUAAAGAGUAACGGAGGAGCACGAAGGUUGGCUAAUCCUGGUCGGACAUCAGGAGGUUAGUGCAAUGGCAUAAGCCAGCUUGACUGCGAGCGUGACGGCGCGAGCAGGUGCGAAAG